This 468-nucleotide ribosomal RNA is filed under the name Epinephelus fuscoguttatus (brown-marbled grouper). RNAcentral describes it as "partial 16S ribosomal RNA". It matches the Rfam family "Bacterial large subunit ribosomal RNA", at positions 1842 to 2509 of the family's 2925-position model. The record is from RNAcentral. Lineage: Eukaryota; Metazoa; Chordata; Actinopteri; Perciformes; Serranidae.
AGUAUAAGAGGUCCCGCCUGCCCUGUGACUAUAUGUUUAACGGCCGCGGUAUUUUGACCGUGCGAAGGUAGCGCAAUCACUUGUCUUUUAAAUGGGGACCUGUAUGAAUGGCAUAACGAGGGCUUAACUGUCUCCUCUUUCAAGUCAAUGAAAUUGAUCUCCCCGUGCAGAAGCGAGGAUAGAUACAUAAGACGAGAAGACCCUAUGGAGCUUUAGACACUAAAGCAGAUCAGUAUUAAUACCCUGAACAUAGACUACGAAUAAACUGACCCCUGCCCUAAUGUCUUUGGUUGGGGCGACCGCGGAGAAAAAUAAAACCCCCGCAAGGACUAAAUGUACUACAUUCACAAACAAGAGCGACAGCUCUAACUAACAGAACUUCUGACCAAUAAGAUCCGGCAAUGCCGAUCAAUGAACCGAGUUACCCUAGGGAUAACAGCGCAAUCUCCUCUUAGAGCCCAUAUCGAC